Molecule: long non-coding RNA, 30633 nt
Filed under: Citrus x clementina
Lineage: Eukaryota; Viridiplantae; Streptophyta; Magnoliopsida; Sapindales; Rutaceae
Description: Citrus clementina (C. clementina) long non-coding RNA (CCLE_LNC005548)
Source: RNAcentral
CAUAGCUAUUUUCUCCUUCUCCUCCAUUCAUGCGCAGAAUUUGCUCUACCUCCAUUGCUGCGUUAUCUGCUUCUCUAUCGGCUCAAUCCUGGCGACUAUGAUUUACCAAGGCCUUCAAAUUAAUAUCAUUAGUUCAAAUUCAUGGAAAUGUUUCUGGCAGCGAUAUGGAUUGACCAUUGACUGUGAUAUUAGUGACUGCUGCAAUUCUUUGACCGCAUCUUGGCACAAUUUCUAGCAAAUGGGUUUAAAAGUAUUACCCUACGACGAAGGAAGCCUACCGACUUGUUAACAGAUUGACUUAAAUCUUAAUUUCCUAUUUCCUGUUUGUUGACUGACUGAUAACUUGUCUCCAUCAAAUAACUGGUCUCCAUCAAUCUCUUCUAGAUCAAUUGACUGAAAAUUUUGUUCUCACUUAACAGAGGAAGCAAUUUCCCAAAUUUUGGAGAAUCGGGAUGCUUACUUUAUCAAAACAUAGAUAUAUAUAUAUAUAUUUUAAUUAAUAUGAGAUAAUAGGAAAAAGUGGUUACGCUGAGCUGGCUUUGGAUGUAUUCAUUUAACAAAACAUGGUAUAUUUAAACUUUUUGUAACAGUUGAUGAAGAUAUUUUCUUAAGGCGCGAAGGGUGUGUAAGAACCUUCCCCAACUGAACAACAGAUUUUGGUUAGAUUAAUUGAUGUUGGAGCAGCAAGGUGGAGUGAGCCCAAUACAGAGUCAGCAAGGCUCAAAAAAACUCAGCAAAGCCUAGAUUAGAGCGUGACGCUAUUCCCACCCCUCAAAAACUCUUAUCACAUCCCUCUUCUAUUUUAAUUACAAAAAUAUCCUCGCACAUUUAUUUAUUUUUAAAUAAAACCAAUUCGUGAGCCGUUCAUUCUUGGAUUUUUUUUUUUUUACCUUAUAUGUGGGUUGACAAAUAUUAGAGAAUUGACAACCAUUGGAUUUAAUCAAAUAGCUGAAAAUAAGAUUUUUUUAUGAUGCUGUAUUUAUUUUUACAGUAUUGAUAGUGGGACUAAUGUGGGCCCUUAGAUAUAAGAGUUUUAAUCUGAAUCAUUCAUUUAAUAUAAUGGAUAAUUAGAUAAUUAAUUAAAAUAUAGCAGGUAAAUUAUAGGUUGCAGGUAAAUAUUAAUUUUUUAAUUUUAAAUCAAUAUUAAUUUCCAAAAAAACCACCCACACCCCUAAGAUUUGCUAAAAUAAUUAUACAUGUUCCUUUAGUUUCAUAAAUAGUCACAUAGACCCUCUUAAUUUCGUAAAUGACUAUUAUACCUUUUGACUAAAUCAAUCUAAAUAAAUAUAAAUAUAGUAAUAGGAUAAAAAUAAUAAAUAAAAAUCAUAUGAUACAAAUAAAGUGUUACAAUAAAUAUAAUUGAUAAAAUAACAUGUACAAUAAAAAUUUUGUUAAUAUUAAAUUAUUAUUAGUCUAUCUUGACGAAUGAACUAAAAUCUAUUAAUCCAAAAAUUGAUCUUAAGAUUGAUAUUAAUAUAGACAUAAUUAAAUAAGAUAUUGUUAAUUUUAUAAAUUAUUGUGAAUGUUAGGUAUAAUUAAUUAAUUUUAUUAUUAUGUCAAGUAGAUUUUAAUAUUAGUAAAAAGAAUAUGACAAACUAAUAAUAAAAGAAUAUGAAAAAUAAUAAUGUUAAAAAUAAAAUUUUUAAAAUUAAAAAUAUUUUAUAAAAUUUUAUCUUAUGUUAUGUAUUAUAUUUUUUAAUUUAAGGAGUUUUGUAUGACCAUUUAAAUAAAAUUUAGAGGCGUGAGUGGUCUUUUUACUAUUAAUUUUGUAGCCUAUUUGAAGUACUAUAUCAUUUUACAUCAUACAUCACACUUAAGAUGUUGAUUUUAUUAAGGUGUUAUGUUAUUAAAAAUUAAACUUAGCAUUUAUAAUACUACAACUUUAAUGUAAAAUGUAAUAAAAAAAUAUAAAGACAUUUUCGAGUAGUCAAUUUUAGUUUUCUUUUACAAAAUAGUAUUAUAAAAGACAACUGGUAAAAUGUAAUAAAAAUGCUAUGGAAAAAAAGUUAGUAGAGGUGAUUCUCUUUAUUAAAACAUAUGACGUAAUACACAACGCACACAUAUUCAGUACNNNNNNNNNNNNNNNNNNNNNNNNNNNNNNNNNNNNNNNNNNNNNNNNNNNNNNNNNNNNNNNNNNNNNNNNNNNNNNNNNNNNNNNNNNNNNNNNNNNNNNNNNNNNNNNNNNNNNNNNNNNNNNNNNNNNNNNNNNNNNNNNNNNNNNNNNNNNNNNNNNNNNNNNNNNNNNNNNNNNNNNNNNNNNNNNNNNNNNNNNNNNNNNNNNNNNNNNNNNNNNNNNNNNNNNNNNNNNNNNNNNNNNNNNNNNNNNNNNNNNNNNNNNNNNNNNNNNNNNNNNNNNNNNNNNNNNNNNNNNNNNNNNNNNNNNNNNNNNNNNNNNNNNNNNNNNNNNNNNNNNNNNNNNNNNNNNNNNNNNNNNNNNNNNNNNNNNNNNNNNNNNNNNNNNNNNNNNNNNNNNNNNNNNNNNNNNNNNNNNNNNNNNNNNNNNNNNNNNNNNNNNNNNNNNNNNNNNNNNNNNNNNNNNNNNNNNNNNNNNNNNNNNNNNNNNNNNNNNNNNNNNNNNNNNNNNNNNNNNNNNNNNNNNNNNNNNNNNNNNNNNNNNNNNNNNNNNNNNNNNNNNNNNNNNNNNNNNNNNNNNNNNNNNNNNNNNNNNNNNNNNNNNNNNNNNNNNNNNNNNNNNNNNNNNNNNNNNNNNNNNNNNNNNNNNNNNNNNNNNNNNNNNNNNNNNNNNNNNNNNNNNNNNNNNNNNNNNNNNNNNNNNNNNNNNNNNNNNNNNNNNNNNNNNNNNNNNNNNNNNNNNNNNNNNNNNNNNNNNNNNNNNNNNNNNNNNNNNNNNNNNNNNNNNNNNNNNNNNNNNNNNNNNNNNNNNNNNNNNNNNNNNNNNNNNNNNNNNNNNNNNNNNNNNNNNNNNAUGUAUUAUGAAUUGAUAUGUGAAAUAUAAAUAUUAUUAAAAGUUAAUUUGCAGACUGAUGAAGUAAACCAUCCUUUAUGAACAUUUGAUACAUUAAUCUAAGGUCAAAUGAGAUAUAUCACAUGAUAUUUCAUAUAGUAGUCCAAUUUUCAACAUUUGCAUAUGGUUUUAUAAGCUAGUAAACCAAUAAAUAUACCAUGAGAAAUCAAAGGCUAUUCCAUGGCCAUGCAUUAGAAUAAAAUAAUCUAACAGUACAUACUAUAUCCGAUCGAUAGAUUUUGAAAUUAGUUUGAUUACAUGAUAAUAAUCGAGUCAUCUUAUAACAUUAAGGAUAUGAUUUAAGUAAUAUUUUAGCAAUUUUGAGUUUCGCAUUGAAUUUUCAAAUUAAUUAAAUGUUGAAACCCUUUCAUGUUUGGCCUGAAAUUACAACUUGAUAAAAUUACAAAAAACCAAUAAUGAAUGGCGUAGGAUACAUAGUAAAAUAAAUUUUAAAAUGUAUUUAAACGUACGUAUGAAUUUUGUGGAAUUAAACAAAAUAUGUUGUUCAAGUGAAAUUGUGAGAAUAUUUAAAAUUAUAAGGGUGGUCACUGAAAUUUCUCCCAAUUGAGCCAACCCCAUGAUAUAGACGGUUUUGUUUUGACAAAUACGAUUUGUUAGCCACUUUGACUGUUGGUAGAAUAAGUUCCGGCAAAACACAAUUCAAACUCAUCUUUGCAAAGAAUAAACAGUAUCUCAUCAAGGAUCAAAUCUAAGCGGAGUUUUUGUUCAAUCAGUCGGACUAAAUUCGAGUAGAGUUCUUAGUCAAUUAAUCAAGUUGUUCGGUUUUGAAACAAAUUUAUAUUCAAGGUAAAUCUGGGAGCUGUCAUUACAAAAAGCGAUGGAUAUUGAUGAACAAGGUUAGUACUGAUAUGUUCUUUGUAAUUUGAUAUUUAGAAUUUUUAUGAUUAUUUUGUUGUUGUGUAGAGAAAUGGUUAUGACGAGAUUUUGGCUAUGUAACCAUGUAAUGACCAAUGCUUUAAAAUCAAACACUUGUUCGAUUAUUUGUCCAAACCAAAAAAAAAAAGGCACGCAGAAACAUAAGAGAACUGAGAAUAUGAUGUCUGCCAGUCGUGCUUCUUGGAGAAAGAGGUUGAAAAAAAGAACUAAUACAGCAUUUAAGUUGGUUGUUUCGAUGCUUCUGAGCAGUUUGUAUUGUUUAAAUCAUAUCUUAAUAUAGAAAAAUUGAAAUUGAACAUUGUAAAAUUAUUUGAACUUCUAACAAAUAGAGCUUUCUAGGGGGAUAUAGCUUCUAAUUUUUUUCCUGAGGAAUUGAUAUCAUUUAAUUCAGAAACUUCUGGUCUUGUGUAGUUUGAAGACAGCUGUGACCUUUGUGCACUAAAUCCUGAAUAUCUCUAAGAUGAGAAGUCCGAAUUUGAUUCUGUAAAUUUCUUCCAUAACUAUAUUCAUUUAUCUAUCCAAACAUAUAUAUUAUGUAAUGUCAUAUAUCCUAGAUCAAUACAGUUAAAUCAUGGAAGUUGGCUGAUAAUCAGAGGCUUGGUUGCUUCAGUGAUUCUGAGCAGUCAGCAUUCUUUAAGCCAUAUCUUCAUGUAGAAACCUUCAAAUAGAAAACCGUAAAAUUAUUUGAACUCCUGAAAAAUAAAUAUUUCUAUAGAUAUAUAGUUUGUAAUUUUAUUUCUUGUUAAUUGAUAUCAGUUAAUUCAGAAACAUCGGGUCUUGUGUGGUUUCUAGACGGUUGUGACCUUUGUGCACUAAAUCGUAAAUAUCUUUAAGAAGCGAAGUCGAAAUUUGAUUGUGUAAAUUUCUUCCGUAACUAGACACAUUUAUCUAUCCAAAAAAAUAUAAUAGAAAUCUCAUAUAUUCUAGAUCAGUACAGUUUAAUCAUGCAAGUUUGCUGAUAAUCAUAGACUUGGUUGCUUCAGUGAUUUUGAGCAGUCAACAUUCUUUAAGCCAUAUCUUCAUGUAGAAAACUUCAAAUAAAAAACCGUAAAAUUAUUUGAACUCCUGAGGAAUAAAGCUUUCUGGACAUACAUAGUUUGUAAUCAUGCAAGUUUGCUGAUAACAAAAUAUUCAAUAUUGUUUUUGCAGUUAUCAACCAAAAUUCAAAAGAAGCAGAGUUUGACAUUCCUUCAUCACAUGACAUUCUUUCAACAGAUAGGGCAACCAUUCUGCCAAGUGUAGAUGAUUCCUCAUGUUCCAUUUUUUUUAAUGGUAAGCACCUGCAACAACUCACUAGUGAAGAUGUAAUUGGAAGUCAAUUUGAGACACUUAUAGAUGCUGAGAAUUUUUACAGUAAUUACUCGAAAGUAAUGGGCUUCAGCAUUCGUAAGAAUGAUAUAAGGUAUGAUAAUGAUGGUCAAACCAAUGUGAGACUUUGGGUUUGUAAUAGGGAGGGCGAGCGUGCUAAACAGUAAGUUGAAAGGAAAGAUAGAAUUCGGGAACCGAGGACUGUUACGAGAGUCAAAUGUCCAGUUGCUUUUAGAGUGAAGAUGAAUAAGAAGGUUGGUACUUGGGUUGUUAAUCAGUUUAUCCCUGAACACUCACAUGAGUUGGCAAUGAAUUAUGAGAUUAAGUUCCUUCGAUCCCAUCGAUCAGUUAAAGAUUGUGACAUGGCUCAAGCUACUGCGAUGAAAACUGUUGGUAUAAAGACUAGUCAAAUUAUGGAUUUUUUAGUCAAUCAAGCUGGGGGUUAUGACAAUGUGGGCUUCACACUGGAGGAUUUGUAUAAUUCAUUAGAUAUUGAACGUCGGUCUAUGAUGCUUGAAACAGAUUCAGAAUCUGCUCUGGCAUACUUAAAAGGAAAAGCUGAUAUGGAUCCAAAUUUCUUCUGUAAAUACACUGUAGAUGAGGAGAAUAGACUUUCAAACUUGUUUUGGGCUGAUUCUAUUUCUUGUUUAGAUUAUCACCACUUUGGGGAUGUGUUAGCUUUUGAUAGUACGUACAAGACAAAUGAAUAUGGUAAGCCAUUAGUCAUGUUAGUGGGAGUUAAUAAUCAUUAUGCAACAUGUUUUUUUGGAUGUGCAUUACUUGUGGAUGAGACAGUUGAGACAUAUAUGUGGGUGUUGGAAACAUUUUUGUCUGCCAUGAAUAAUAAAAAGCCUAUUUCUGUGGUGACUGAUGGAGAUCGAGCAAUGAGGAAAGCGAUUAAAAAGGUGAUUCCUGAAGCUCGUCAUCGUUUGUGUGUUUGGCAUCUACAGAGGAAUGCACAAUCUAAUGUACGUAAUAAACCUAAUUUUAUAAAAGUAUUUACAAAGUGUAUUUUUGAAUUUCUUACACCUGAAGAGUUUGAUAAAUUAUGGUGGAAUAUGGUGGAGGAAGAAGGUUUGCAAAAUAAUGAUUGGGUGAACAAAAUUUAUACAAAACGACAUAGAUGAGCAGAAACAUUCUUAUAGGGUCAUUUCUUUGCUGACAUGUGUACUACACAACGGUGCGAGGGAAUGAAUGCAUAUAUGAAUAGAUUUCUUCAACAGAAGUUAAAGUUGCAAAUCAAUCCAAAUCAAUCCCCAACCACAGUCAAAAUGGUCCAUUCAAGAUUGCUUGCAAGUUCCAAUCAUUGUGUGCUCCUUCGCCAAUUGACACAGAAAGCCGGUCUGUUGAAUUAUCUGUCAAGAUUCAUUUUAAGAAGAAAAUUUGAUAAUUUUUUCCCGCAAAAUUUUCAUAAAAGAUAUUGGAAUGGAUAUUUGACAUUUCAGAUUUUUAGUUAACGACAUACAGUCAUUCACUUGUAGGCUGAACUUAAAACACACACAAAAAAAAAAAGCAGACUAUUAUUUUUUGAAAGUUUUUAAUUGGAAGAGACCAUAACCUCAAAAGCUAACAAAACUUAAUGAGUAAUCCAAAUAAAAACUUUACAUCGAAUACAAAGGUCAAUUAAAGGGGACAAAAAAUAUUGAAAGUAACAAGACACAAAAUUUUCAUAAAGAGUAAUCCAAAAACUUAAAAACUAAAAAAGAAAAUUACGUAAUCCAAAUAAAAACUUUGCAUUGAAUAUAAAAUUCAAUUGAGGGGACAAAAAAAUUAAAAGUGACAAAAUACAAAUUACGUCCAAUACCAAAUUUAUUAAAUCUCUACUAGGCAGAUCAAUUGGAUUUUCUUCCUGGUUUCUUCAAAUAUUCUCUAGUACCAAUUACAGUUCUAACUUUAUUAAUUGAACGAUUUUUUUUUCUGAGAAGCAACUUUAGUUCUAACUUUACUAGUUGCAAUAACAUUCGUCUUAGGACCAUGGAAUGAUAGUGCUUUUUGUAUAACACUAUCUCUUACUUCAUUUGCAUCACCAUUUACAAGGAGUAGCGCAAGACGAAAUCUUUCUUCAUCCGAUUCAUACUGCAUAUAAUAGAAUUGAUAACAAUUUAAUAUUGAUUAAAGUAUUGUGCAAACUAAGAAAUAUAAAUUGUAUGAUUAAGUUACCUUAUAAGUUGGGAAUAACAUCUCACAUGGAGUCUCCAUAAACUUCAUCACAUACAAGCCACAAUCAUUUCCAUUUGGUUGAAUUGGCACAUUAUUUGGAUAUAAAAUGUCAAAGUCAGCGAAAUACCAAUCAGAAGGAAAGUUAAAGGCUAUAUCACGAAACAAGACUAGGUCCAAUGCAUGUAACUGCAAUAAUAAUAAUGAUAGUUAAUAUAUAUUGCAUCUAGUAAUUUCAUAUAAACAAAUAAAAAAUUUGAACUUACAUUUUGCUUAACGAUUUCUUGACGAUGAUUUGGUUCUAUUUCAGAAUUAGGCAAAGAAUCCCAAAUCUCAGCAGUCUUAUCUUUUAUAUUCAUUAUCACAAGAUACCAAUGUUUUGCAAGCCCAUCAUAAAGAGGAACAUAUAUCUGUGGAACAAUACAGAAAUUUUAUACUAAUCAUUACACACUUCAAAUGAUAAUAAUAAAACAUAUGAUAUUUUAGUAAAUAACUUUUUACUUUUUGAACAUAUGAUAAUAUUCCUGACCUUUUCACAUCUUUUGAGUGCACCCAUGUAACAUUCACAAAUGUUAUGUUUACGAACCGAAAUUUCGAUAUUUGAUCUAUCAAUGGUUGAGACACCUGACACAUUCGCCACGAUUUGCUACAAAAUUCAUAAAUUAAUAAUUAUAUGAAGAUGGUAAGAUAUAACUUUAAAAAAAAUUCUAAAUUUUUAGUAAAAACAUAUUAUACAUUUGUAAUAGCAAAAUAUAUAACAUACCCCAAAAAGAAUUGGUAAAAACCAAUUUCGAGUCUCAUAAUCUUGCUUCAAACUCUCCUUUCUAGUUAAGUACUCGGCAUAGCAACUUAUGAUCUAUGUAUAAAAUAAUCACAAUAUCAUUAUUAAAACAUUCACUACCAAAUGCAAAAUAAAUUAUAAAUUAAAUACAUAUAAUCUUAUUACGCUCUGAAUAUUACACACACACAGAGUAUACCUCAUCAAAUAUCCAAACAUUAGGAGCUAAAGAAGACAUUAAGAAGCGGGUAACAAUAUGUCGCUUUGUCAUUACAAUUUUCUCUCUGUAUAAAUUAUACACUCACAUUAAUAAGAAAUUAAAACAAAUAAGAACAUCAAAAUACAAACGUAUAAAAUAUGAUUAUAUUAAAUACUUCCAUACCUUUUAUCUAGUUGUUCAUGAAAAAUAUACUGUAAAAUAUACCAUUCUUCCUCCGAAAAAGAAGCUCCAUGUUUGGAUAAACCAAACUCCUUGUUGCGGCGGCCUUUUUUUUUGGUGAAAUUUUCAUAAGGAGAUUUUUUAUAACGACUGGGCUUUCGAGGACGCACCUUUUUAUCCUCAACUGCAUCUACUUCAACCGAUGAUACCAAAUCCACAAAAUCAAUUGCAUCCAUGGCUUUAUCCGACAUGCAUAAGAACAUGAAUUUUAUUUAUUUUUUUUAUUUAAUGAAUGUGCUAGUACAAAAAAUUUUUGAAAAAAAAUGUAGAAUAAUAGUUUGUUAUCAUACCUUUUUAACAACAUUGUUGAAGAUUUGGUUCUCUUUCAGUUUCCUAUAUGCAAAUAAGUUUUUCAAUGAUAAAUUUUCAUCACAUGCGUCUUCAAUCUUGUCCUUAAUCUCUGCGAUCUUCACCCCAAACUCAUCUCCCUUUCCCACGAAAUUUUGACCACUUGAUUCAUUUGUACAAUUUUGAACAUCUUUACUAGAAGAGUUCAUCUUUUCCUUCCAUGGGUAUGAUUGCAUAUGAGUUAUAUUAUGUUCAAGUGCUUCAACUACACUAUACAUUUUUUGUACCAAUGCAUAAGUAUCUAAAUUGUUCUUCUUCAGCUCACCAAAUUCAUACCUGACAGCGGCAAGAUUAAAAGUCAUCCCAUCAAUUUUUUCAUUAAGCUUUGUCAAUUCCUUCUCAUGGUUGCAAUUUCGAAAGUUUGCUUCACCCUCUCCGUUUGUUUUAAUGCUUUUAUGGAGCCCUCCAUCAUCUUUUUUUUCCAUCUGCAUUUUAAUGUUAAUAUUUAGUCAAUCAUGUAACAUCAAGUAUAUCUAUAAAAUUAUGAUACUAACAAAUAAAAUAUCAACAAACAAAAAUGAAGAUUUUAACAUCAAUAUUUUCAUAUUGGGCUUGUCUUUAAUUUUUAGAAUUUAAAGACCGACAUUUAAAUUUCAAUUGUAAGAUAUUAAUAGUCAGCUGAAUUCCCUCCUCAAAAUAAUAUAAAUUCGUAAAGUGCAACGGAAAGAUCUCUUGCAAGGUAGACAACUAGACUAGCCAAAUUCUGAAUGUUGAGAGUUUGAAAGAUUGAAUUUUCUCUUGUUGCCUUCAUUGAGAAAAUGACAGAGAAUUAAAAGAGAGAAAGAUCAUUCCCACCGCAUAAAGCCUAAGAGAGGCAAAAUUAUUAAUCUGACUCUAGAAUCUUCAGGUCUUCACAAAAAAACAUAUAACAAACUUGAAAAAAAAAUUUGUCCCUUCAGAUCCUAGAAGUAUUGUGCUUCUAAUCUUGUUUUGCAUGCUUCAGCUGUAGUAAUUAGUUCAUUUCCAUGUAAUCAAAAAAAAAAAAAAAACUACAUUCAUAUGUGGGCAAGAUCAUGCCAGUUUAACCUUUAGCGUCGCUGCUGGAGAUAAUCAAAUCAGGGCGGAGAAAAGGAGAAUGGAAUCAGAGGCUAAGAUUAAUAAGUGGGCCUCAGCUUGCUUUGCCCCUCUUUCUUAAACGAUUGGUGGUUAACUGCUGACUCAGCCAAGUCUUGGCUGCACUUGAUUCACCGAUUUAGGUUAUUUUGUCUUCUAUCUGAUGCAGCGAAGAAGCUUUGCUGCUUAACAUGCUGCAAUGCAACUUUAUCCUUUGAAGUUCAAACUUCAGGGCUGCGCACUUUAUGUAAUCCUAUGAAUAAAAAGAAUUUGUUUUCAAAUGUGAAAAAAGAAAAUGUAAGGUAGUAACUAAAUAUAUUAUAGCAUCAAAGCAAGAUUUGAUAUGAAUUUAGUACAACAAAGAACAUCAAAUCUGCGAUUCCUUGUCUAAUGUCACGAUCGAGCAAUAAAUUUAAAAGCCUACCUAUCAAAUAGACGUGGCAAUAAAUGGAGAAAAAGUUGAAUUAUAAGAACAAGUUUACGAUUUGACAUGGUUAAUCAUUCGUGAACUGAGACAGCAUUCAAGAAUCCAAUUUCAAUACAACAACAUAGGAGAUAAACAGAUGACGAAUUUUAUGAGAUAAAGAAGGAGGUUGAGUUUUAUUGUAUCUCUAUUUUCUUUCCUUUUAAAUUUAAAUUAGGUUUUGCAACCGGUUUGUUAACCGGUUAUAACAUUUUUGAAAUAAUUAAAUAUUUUCAUUAUUAAAAAUAAUGUGUACCGUUGAUUACAUCUAAUGGUACAAAUUUGUUACACUAUUAAUACCGUAAACAAAAUUACGGCACCAUAGAGGGACCCCUGAAAAUAUAAUAAAUAGUAAUAGAGGAGUUGUGGGAAACUUUCUCCAUUGUCUAAUGUCUGUUAACUUAUCACAUAAGAUAACAAUGACCUUCGUUCUCCCCUCCUAAUAGGUGUUUGUCAGCCCUAGUGUACACUAAAUCUUGAUUUUUUUCUCGAUAAAUUAUCCGAACUUUCUCUCUCUAUCAACUUAUAAUUGAGCACUUUCCAUAUUACUAAAAACUUUGAUUCAGAUCAUUUUCCUUUAUUUAUAUUUCUCAACAAAAUCUCGAGGAACUUGACUUUUUCUCUCAAAAAAAAAAAUUUAACAUUUGCCCUUCAAGCAAUUUUUUUAAAAUUCAAUGCACUUUCUUAUGUAAAUUGUAAUAAUUUAUAAUUCAAUUUAAAUUAUUUCUCAUAAUCUAAAAUCAUUUCAGCACUUUUUUCUACAGGUAUUUAAAACAUAAUCAAAAUCCUUGUAUUUUUAUGACAAUGAAAAAUGAAGUAGGGUUUAGGAAGAUAAUUUUUUUAAUUUUAAUAAAAUAAUUUGUAAGGUCAAAAUUGUAAAGAUAAAAUAAUAUGAGGUUUUAAAAGAUAUUUAAACGGGUGUUAAAAGCUCAACUCUCAAUUGAACAAGCAUAGUUAAAUUCAACAAGCCCACACAGGUCCAACAAAAUUCCAAUGUCAAAGGGAUGAGAACAGCUAUUAAAUUGGAAGAAGCGCUAACCAAACUGUACAUAUAUUAAAACGACUUACUCCUCUCUCGGACUUAUUUAGGGGUUGAUUGAAGAAUCAAAAUCGGUGUAAUUCAAUUAUUCAUUUUUUUCUUUUCUUUACACCUUAUGUUGGAGAAGUAAGGCAAGUUAUUAAAAGAGAAGGAUCCUUCAAGUAGCCAAUUAUUUUGGAAGUGCAAGCAUGGAUGAUUUGUUCCAUCGAUAUAUGGUUAAAAUUUAUGAGAAAUUAGAAAUGGGGAUAAGGAGUUUACACAAAUUUGCUCAUUUUCCUUGAUAAAUAAAUGAAUUAUGUUUUUGUUACACGUCCUUUAUUUUGUUCCGGUUAAUUUCUUUUGCUUGUUUCUUUUAUGCUUUGAAUAAGUCUUGCUAGCUAUUGAAUAAAUUAGAGUCCAAGUUGUUUAUUUAGCUAAAUUGUUGGUACGUGCCUAGUGUUACGGAAAGACAGUUGUAUUUCCCAUUAUUUCGGAAAGACAGUUGUAUUUCCCAUUAUUUAAGUUGAUGGAAUAAUACUUCAGGGUAAGAAUGGUAAUGGGGUGGGGGAAGAUCUACCUCAAUCCCCACCUCAUUCUCCAAUAAAUUUAAUGGGGUGGAGAUGAAGAAUCCCAUGUGGAGAAUGAUUUUGGAAUGUUUGAAAGGCUUGGAUUGUAAUUAGGUAAUUAACUCAACUUAUUAAAGAUGAUAUUGUCAUACCACAUUCAUAAUAUUUCAUUUUGAUAGAUAUUUAUGAUUUGUAAAAUAAGUUGAAUUGAUUAGGGGCCAUAUGAACUUUUUAUUAUAAAGUACCUUAAUUUAUUAACUUUUUAAAUUUAGAUAUGAUAAGUAUUGUAGUCCAUUUGAGUUUGGAUCUAAAUAUUUUUAGUUUAUACUUGAGGGGAGAAUAUGUAAUUUUUUCUGAUUUUUGUUUCACAAUUAAUUUAGCUGUGAUCAUUGUACCAAAUCAAAUAAUAAAAAAAGAAAUCAUGGGUUUAAAUUAAAAUAAAAAAAGGCAUGGGGGUGAUUAUUUGUGUGAAGAAGGAAAAAAAACAGUGAUAGACAAGGGAAAGAGAGACAUAUUAUAGAGUUAACAUCUGUUAGUUGCUUAUUAGUUAUUCCAUUUUAGUUAGCCACUAAUUCUAUAUAUUUUGAUGUCCAUGAAGAAAAAUUAAAAAUAAAUUAAAUCCUAUCCCUAAAUACAUUUAAAGGAAAAAUGUCAUAAUCUCUUACAAAUCUUGGCAAAAAUGAGAUUAAGAAAGAAUCCGAAUGAAAUUAAUCUUAUUUUAUGGGUUUUAAUUUGUUAGUUAAUUAAGCAGACCAAAUCAAGUCGAUGGGACAAUAUGAAGAUUGAAUGAAUCAUCUAGUAGGUACGGAGAUUUUAUUUUUAAUUUUAAAUACACACAAUGAAUGAAUAUGCUUGACUUGUUAAAGAUUAUUUCUUGAAUAAGUGAUAUUCAUUAUUAGUGAUAAUAAUGGGUGAUUAGUGUUAAAAAUUGUAUGUUUGUUAAGGGGUAAAAAUGUUAUUUUGUGCUAUUAUUGUAAUUUAUAUUUGUAAUUAUGUAACAUAUUGUGAAUUUCUAAUUAUUUUUCUAAGUAUUUGAUUUUGUGUAUUUUUGUGUGUUUAUUAGGUAAAAAUAAUAAUUUCAUGCAAUUGGAGGCUCCAAACAAAUGUGCAGAUGUCAAAUUUAGAUUUUAGAAGUCUGAGAAAUUAUGUUAUUGUUGAGGAGGAUCCAAGACUUUUGUUGUAAACUUUUAAGUUUUCACCACGGUAAAUGUGGUAAUUGUAAAGCUGUAAGUUUUUAUCAUAUUAGGUAUAGUAAUUAUUGGUGGAAUGUGUUGAAUGUGUUUGAGUGGAUUACAUUAGGUUUACAUUUUAUUAGUGGGACAAAUGUAAGGCUAAGAUGUAAUUAUAUUUACUUAUUUAUGUGGUGUGGAUUUACUAUGUAUUAGUAUAAAUAGAGAGGGGAGGGGGAGGGACACACCUUUUCACACCUUCUCUUCUCUUCUCUUCUUUCCCCCUAAAUUCUUCUUCUUAUCUCUCUUUGUUAUAUAUUUUCAAUCAAUAAAAUUAGUUUUAUUUCAAUUUUCAAGUUCUAUUUUUUUAAUUAUGCAUUUUUCAAUUUUAAUAAUUUCCUUUAUUUUAAAAAUGUUUAGCUCAAUAUUAGUAGUUAGGGGAAGGUGAAACUCUUAGUAAAAAUAUGGUUUAAUCAAAUUCUAUUUUUAAUUGUACAAAUUAAAUUUUUUUCUAUUAAUUUUAUCCAUAAUUUAUAUUUUGAAAUUUUGAUUUAUUGUAGACAAACAUGGAAGUUUGGCACGAUGAAUUCUUAAUAUCUUCGUAUAAAGUAUGGUAAAAUGGUAUUUUGAUUUAUUGUAGACAAAUUAAGUUUUGGCACAUUAAGUUCUUAAUCCAUAAUAAAAUAAAUGGGAAAAUAAUUUUAAUUUAUACAAUUAAUCUUUUGGGAAAUAAAAUAAAAAAAAAUUUGUUAAAUUGCAUUUAUUAUUAGGAGUGGAUCCAUAAUCCUAACUAACUCAAUUUCAUAAUUUUUCUAAAAUUAAGUUGCAUAUUUUUAAUUUUUAAUUUUAUUUUUUUGAUAAACUUAAAUAAACAGAUUAAAUCCUUUUUUUGUGGAUCGAUCUCGGACUCACCGAGUUAUAAUAUAACAAGAUACUCUUAGAAAUCACUUUUAAGUUGUGUCAAAGUUUUGGCCCCAUUGCCGGGAGAUGUAUUUAUUUUGUUUUAUUUUUUCUUUUUUUUCUUUUACUUUUAUUGUAAAUUUUCUUUUACCCCCUUUUUCUUUUCUUAAAUUCUGUUCUAUCCCGAAAUCUUUCAUAAUUUCAUUUGUACUUUAAAAAAAUCUCGUUUCUGGCUCAUUCUUCUCAUAAUUUCGGUUUGACAACAAAAUCACAAAAAAUUUUUGAAUAGGUCCCUUGCCAAAAUUUCCCAUAAAUCUCAAAUUCGGACAUAUAACUUGAGCUUUCUUGAAACAUAACUGGAUUUCUUUGGACCUAAUUUGGACUCAAUAAAAAGAAUUUUGACUUUAAAAAUUACAAGACCCAUUAAUUUGAAUUAAUCACUUAAUCGGUUGGUAAUUUUUAAAAUUUGAAAAAAAAAGAGCCUACACUUUAAUUAUUUCUUUUCUUUUUUUCUUUUAUUUAUUUCUGUAAUUUAAUUUUUGCAUUUAUUUUAUUUUUGGUUUUUACUUUGUUUAUAUGUUUGGUUUAUUGCCUAUUUAGUUAUUUUAAUUUUAGUUAAUUAAUUUUUAGUUUUUUUUUAUUUUUGUCUUGUGUUUUUUUUGUACAUUUAUCUUGUUUAUUUAAUUUUCAUUUUGUUUUUAAUUUGUGUAAUUUUCAUUUUUUUUUGUUUUGUUAGUCAUUUGUUUGUGUAUCAUCUUUACAACAUAAUUUUACACUCACACAUCAUCAUUGCAUGAGACGUUAGUCUCGGACUUCAAGUGACAGGUUAAUUUGUAGAUCUUAAUCACCACCACCAAUCAUAGACGAGAUCCAAGAUGAAAACAUUUUAGGCCAACUUAAUCCUCUAGUUGAUCAGGGUGACAACCAAUCUUAACGUGAUCAGAAUCAACCAAGAACUUUGAGAGAUUACAUGAAUCCAACGAGAACCGGAGCACCAUCAUGUAUAGUAUUUCCUCUAGAAGCAUUUUGAUUCAACUUCAAACCAGGUAUUAUCCAACUUUACCAACAUUUCAUGGUUAAGAAUCUGAGAAUCCAUACUUGCAUCUAAGAGAUUUUGAGGAAGUUUGUAAUACAUACACAUACCAAAAUUGUAGCAUGAACAUAUUUAGAUUAAAACUUUUUCCCUUUUCAUUAAAAGAUAAACCUAAAACUUGGCUACAAAACCUUAGAUCUGGAUCAAUAAGAACUUGAAAUAAUAUGCAAGAAUAGUUUUUGAAAAAAUUCUUCCCAUCUCACAAAACCAAUUCUUUUAAAAGGCAAAUCACUUAUUUAACUAAAAAAAAAAAAAGAAACAUUGUACCAAUGUUGGGAUAGAUUUAAAGAAUUGCUUAACAUAUGUCCAUAACAUGGUUUCGAAACUUGGCGAUUGAUCACUUAUUUCUACGAGGGCUUAACACCACAAAGUAGACAAGUUGUAAAAAUGAUGUGUAAUGGUGAAUUUAGAGAGAAAAAUAUGAAGAUGCACUAGAUUACCUUGACCAAUUAGUUGAAAAUGCACAACAUUAAGAUAUUGUUGGAACAUUUGAAUUGACUAAUAAACCACAACCAUCUCCAUCUAGUGGAAGAAUCUAUAACUUAGGGAAAAUCAUGAUUUACAAGCAAAAUUUGCAUUCCUAGUUAGGCAGGUUGAAGCUUUGAAAAAUAAAAAAAGUGAUCAAAUAAAAUCUAUUCAAGAAAUUGCAUGUGAUGUUUGUAGUUAUAAUGAUCAUUUCAGUCAUUAUUGUCCUACUCUGCCUGCACUCAAAGAAUGUUUGCAUGAUCAAGCUAAUGCCAUCAAUACUUUUAACAAACUAAACCCAUAUUCACAGAUUUAUAAUCUUGGUUGGAGAAAUCAUCCAAAUUUUACUUGGAAGAAUAAUAAUAAUACACAAUCUUCACAAGCACCACCUCCACAAAAUUUUCAAAAUACUUAGCCUUAUGCACCAUAUAUUCCACCACCAUGGAACAAUUUGGAAGAUACAAUGCAUUCACUGAUUAGAAAGCAAGAUGCUAUUAAUAAUAAAAAUGCACAAACCUUUUUUGUUUUGAAAGAUACUCUUGCUAAAAUUGCUUCUGAACUCACAAUUCAAGAAAAAGGAAAAUUUUCAGCUCAACCACAACCAUGUCCUAAAAUUCAAAAUUCACCCAUGGACUAAGUCAAGUCAAUUAUAACUCUUCGUAGUGGUAAGGUUAUUGAUCGGCCUAUUCCCAAACCUUGUAAAGAUAGCAACAAUGAAAAUUCAAAGGGUAAUGAAGAACUAAAUAAACUUACACCUAGUGAAGAAAUAACUAUUGUUCCAUCUGAACCAUUAUUUCCGCAUGCAUUGAAUAAACUAAGGAAAUCAAAUCACUCUUAUGAAAUUUAUGAAAUCUUUAAGCAAGUGAAAGUCAAUAUUCCUCUGUUAGAUGCAAUCAAGCAGGUACCUUCAUAUGUAAAAUUUUUAAAGGACUUAUGCACUAUUAAAAGGAAAUUGAAGGUAAGAAAAAGUCAUUUAAUGACUGAACAGGUAAGUACCAUUUUGUCUACUAAUAAUAAGUUGAAAUAUAAAGAUCUUGAUUGUCCUACUAUUUCCUGUAUCAUUGGAGAUCACAAAAUUGAGCAUGCUUUGUUAGACAUUGGUGCUAGUGUUAAUUUGCUUCCAUAUUCAGUUUAUCUUCAACUUAAUCUUGGUGAGUUAAAAUCAACUUCAACUAUACUUUUACUUGCCGAUAGAUCAGUAAAGUACCAAAAGGAAUAAUGGAAGAUGUUUUAGUACAAGUUGAUAAAUUCAUAUACCGUGUGGAUUUUAUUAUUUUAGAAAUUGAACUUGUUGUAAAUAAUUAUAAACCAAUUCUUGUAAUUUUGAGUCGAGCAUUUUUAACAACUGCUAAUUCUUUGAUUAAUUGUAUGAAUGGUUUAAUGAAUUUUUCAUUUGGAAAUAUGACUCUGGAAUUGAAUGUUUUCAACAUGUGUAGGCAACCUAAUGAAGAAAAUGAGAAUGAAGAUGAAAUUAAUGAACAAAAGGAAUUGCUUGAAUAUUGUAUAGAGGAGAAUAUUCAAAAAGGGAGUUUUUAUGAACUUAGUGAUAUUUGUUUAGUUAAUUUGAUUGAAUCAAAUAAACAACUUCUAAUAUAAAUUUGUUGUUUGAUUCUUGUCAGACUUUGCAAAAUGAUGAUGGGAAACCAAAUAUAAAUUUGUUGUUUGUGAUUUAUUAUGCGAGUAAGACUUUGGAUAGUACUCAAAUGAAUUAUUUGACAACUGAAAAAGAAUUACUUGUUGUGGUGUUUGUAUUAAACAAAUUUUGUUAAUAUUUACUUGGUUCUAAAACUGUUGUUUUUACUAAUCACGCUAUUGUGAGAUAUUUGAUGACUAAACAUGAUGCCAAACCAAGACUAAUUCAUUGGAUUUUGUUACUUCAAGAAUUUGACCUCACCAUCAAAGAUAAAAAGAGUGCCAAAAAUAUUGUUGCUGAUCAUUUAUCAAGACUCACAUAUGAAAUCUGCACUGAUAUAACACCCAUUAAUAAUUCAUUUCCUGAUGAAUGUUUAUUAUAUGUUACUUCAAUACCAUGGUAUGCUAACAUUGUUAAUUUUUUUGUUACAGGUAAAAUGUCUUCGCAAUAGAAUAGUCAAGAGAAGAAGAAAUUUUUGGUUGAAGUAAAGAAAUUUUAUUUGGAUGAUCAUUAUUUGUUCAAAUAUUGCCCUGAUUAGAUUUUUCGAUGAUGCAUUCCUGAUAAUGAGGUAAGUAGUGUCAUUAAUUUUUGUCAUUCUGAAGCAUGUGGUGAACACUUUUCUUCAAGAAAAACUACAGUUAAAAUUUUACAAUGUGGAUUUUAUUGGCCUACCAUAUUCAAAGACACAUAUGAAUUUUGCAAAACUUGUGAAAAUUGUCAAAAAUUAGGAUCAAUUACUAAAAGAAACAUGAUGCCCUUAAAUCCCAUACUUGAGGUUGAAAUAUUUGACUAUUAGAGAAUUGCUUUCAUGGGUCCAUUUCCACUAUCUUUUGGAUUUGUGUAUAUAUUACACUACAAGAAAACAUGCAAUAGAUGACAAGAAAUAACCGUCAUAAAGAGGGGUGCAUGACAGACAAAAUAUAUGUAAUCUAUGUCACUGUCAUUAAUUUAUGACAGAAUUUUUCCCGUCAUGAGUUUAUGAUAGCUGUUAAAAGUCAUACACGCGUCACACUACAUUUUAGUGGGAAAUCAAAACUAUUUAAAUAUUUAGGAAUUUUUUGAAUUUUUUGGCGGGAAAAUUAGUAUUAUUUCUAUUAAAUUAUUUUAAAAUAUUUUUAAUAUUGUAAAUUUUAUUAUUAUUUUUACUGACUUAAUAGUAUAUUUAUUUAUUAUUAUUAUUUAACAAAUUCUAUAAAUUUGUUUUUAUAAAUAAAAUUGAUCAAUAUAAAAUAAAUACAAAAUAUAAUACUAGUAAUUAAAAAUCCAAUAAAUAAAAUACAUGGAAUUUUAUAUAUAUUCAAACUACAGUUAAAUACAAACUAUGUCACCAAAGCAUCUAAACUACAUCAAUCCCAAAUUUUCAAAAGAUAUCCUAAAAUAAGUAUUCACCAACAUCAAAAUACUUGUACAAAAAAUCAAAGUCCACCAAAUUCCAGUGGUAAAUCACUUGUAGAGUCUAAGUAGUAAGAGGCCAGCAAUUCGUCUCAGUUCCUUCAAUCACCACCAUUAUUUUUAUUUACCCUUCAGAUUGUUGUUGUUGCCUCUCCAUUCGCUUAGCAUGCCCUUAAUUGUAGUAUCUACCUAUCCCUUUAUAUGCAGCCCUGGAUUAUAGCAACAUGUAGAAAACAAUGUUUAACAAGCAUUUUACUAUUCUCUAAGGGGGCAAAAAAAAUAUUUUACUAUUUUCUAAUCAAAGAACCUAUAGCAAGUAGAAUAGAUUUAAAAACUAAGAAUCAACAUAAACAUCUUUCACUAGUAUUCACAUAAAUAUUUAUAUAACCUUAAGCAUCCAGGAACCAAAAGCAAUUUACAUGUUGCACUUAUCAAAUGUACAAUAGAAUAGAGAAAAGGAGAAGAAUUACAAGCAUAAAAAAAAAGGAAAAAGUACAAAAGUGAAGAUUUCAGUGAGAGAAAGAAUUGUCCUCAGUGUAGUUUACUUCUUUAUCAGCCAAUACACAACAGUAAAGGAAACUCAUACUUGGAUGUCAUAAGAAAGACAAAAAUCAUCUAAAAAGCUAUUUGUAUUAUAGAUUUUGUUGGAUAAUAAGGCCAUAAGGUUGAUAACAAAUUUAGGUCUCUAAUGGAAAAGAAACUAUUAUCAAAUUCUCUAAUUUUCCUCUGCAGAAAAGGGGCAUAACAGGACUGAUCCAUUUACAAUUCCAAUCAUAUUAAUAGAUUUUAUUUACCAACUAUCUUUGUGACUUAAAAUAGUCUACAAAACACCAUUAAGAAUACCUAGAAAGGAAUUAACAAUUUUGAAACUAACACCAUACCUGCAGUCAAGAGCCUUGCAGUCAUAUUCCUUACAAAAGUAAUACAGGUAUGGAGUUAUUUGCACAAAACAAACUUGUGCAAUGGUAAACCUCAUAAGCCUGAGAAAUGGGUAUAUCACUACAACAUCAAGAAUAGAUCUAGUUUCUAUGCAUUAAAGUUUCUCACCAAAUAGAGACAUAAGAACAUGGAAGAUUGCAUCUCAUCUGAAACAUACUAAACUAGUACAAUAUACAAUUUGAAAGUAAAAAUAAGAAAAUCAUGUUGAAGGAGACAAGUUUUAUUUUCAUACUCUAGAUCACCUCAGAAUUGCAUGAGCCCUAUUGUAACUUUCCUAAGAAGCCCAAAAUGGAACACCUGAUUAAUUCUUUAAUUAAUAAUCUAUAAUAACCAUAUAAGCUAACAAAAAUUCUACACAUACAUGACUGCUAAAGGACUUUAUAUAAAAAAUAAAGUUAAAAAUGUCGCACCAACAGUUUAUGCAGGGCUUCACAAAAAUGAGUUCUAGACCUUCACCAAACAAUUGUCAUUUUUCCUUAAAUGGUUUGCCUAAGAUCACGAACCCAAGGCUAUAAUUUGACAACAGAGAAUUAAGUUUUCAAUUCGAAGCAUCAAAAAUAUAAACUAACAAAAUUAUAUCUCGUUUAAAUAUCAAUAACAUGUUUUGAAGUAUACAAUUGCAAGCCAAGAAGAAAUAAAUAACCAAAAAAAGAGUAAUGCCUUAGUUAUGAGUUCAAUCUAUAGAACAAACUGAUACCUAGGGAAACAUCUCCAUUAAGCACCGAUAGACUGCAUUGAAACCUAUCUUACAGAGCUAUUGAUAUGCAGAAAUUAAAUUACAAGAAAAUUAACUAAUUCCAAUAGCCAAACGCAUUAGGUAAAAAUCGUAUUUGGUAAAUAAAAAAUCAAACAAAAACUUGCGUAUAAAAGUUCCAAAAUCAUAAGGGUAUAAUUCAACAACAAAUAAGCACAAUUACGAUAAGCAGUUUAACUCUAAACAAACCCAAAAAAAAAGAAACACUUAAUUUAACCCAGCUUAGUCGCUAAGAAAAUGCCAAACCAAAGAAAAAAAAAUCGUUUCAAUUACUUGUGAUUAUAAUUUCCUUUUGGGUGUUUUUAAAGUGAGGAAGAAUAUGAAAGGAACAGACUUUUCAAUAUUCAGAGAGAUGUAGUGUGAAAAGAACAUAUCUGCAACUCCUUCGGUAUCUCGUUUCGCAAGUGAUGUUGGUGAAGAAGGAGAAUAACGACCGUGGAAAGCAUGAGAGGAAAAUUCUAGAAGGCCGUUGAGGAACGAUAUUGAUUUUGGCGGGAGACUAACAGUGGUGGUAAAGCAACGACGGCUGUCUGGGCUAAAGCUUGACGUGAUGGUAGAGGAGCGACAACGAUGACUAAGAUGAAUGGCGGCAACAAGUCAGCGACGUACAUAAUGGUAGCCCGUUUGGUAGUCGGUGGCUGAAGCUUGAUGAUGGCAGAGCAGUGGCAGCAGUGAAAUCGAAGAGCAGCAGGGGAGUGGCAGCAAUAGUGUGUUUAAUUAGGUUAGACUUAGGGUUCACUUUUUCAUUUUAUACUUUAGAAAUAUAGUGUAAUUGUUCACAUAUUAAGUUACCAAUUAUAACUCGACACAUGGUUAAGUAAAAAAUAAUAAUUUGUGAUAAAAAAUAAUUCUACCAUAAAACUAUCAUUAAUUCAUGAUAAAAAAUAAUUCUAUCACAAAGCCAUCAUUAAUUUAUGAUCGAUUGAAAAUUAUGUCACAAGUCUAUCAUAAUUUUAUGAUAUACCCAGAAUUUGUCAUAAAUUGUCUGUCAUCUAUUAGCAGUUUUCUUGUAGUGUUAGUUAUAAUUGAUUAUGUCUUAAAAUGGUUGAAGCAAUGUCUUGUAGAAAUAAUGAUAGUAAAACUGUCAUUAAAUUUUGGGAAAUUAUCAGCCAUAUACCCUUAAAUGACACCAGUAUCAAAUGUGCUACAACACUUUUCCCUUAUAUCACUCGUAUACCCUAAGUUGACAAAAGAGUUCUGGCGUCCACCUUUCCGUUUACUACCGUUAAGAACUUAACAGAAUUUGAGCAAAAUGAUUAUUUUAUCCUUUAAACUCAAAAUGAGGUAAAAAAAUAAAUUUACCUUGAAAAUUAAUGUAAAUUUUCAAUACACAAUUUUUUUUAUUUUGUUAUUAACAAUACAUUUUUUUAUUAAAAAAAUAUGAAUUAUUAAUGGUACAUAUUAUUAACAAUUAUCCAUAAAAAAUAUUCAUCUUAUACCAUAAAAAAUUAUUAACAACAUAUUAUUUACAAUUAUACAUAUUAUAUCAUAAAAAAUUCAAGUUUGAGCUUGGAGGGGUAGAUCUUCAAUAAUUUAGGUUAAAUUUUGAAGGAGUAAAUUCGGUUGUAAAGUAGCUUUUUUUUUAGCAAUUAUUAACAAUUAUCCGAUAAAUGGGGUGACAUGUCAUUUUUAUCAAAAUAUAUCAUAUGACAUGUCAUUUUUUACUAGAUAAAUGGGAUGACAUGUCAUUUUUUUAAAAAGACUAGAUUACCCUUAUGAUGUCAGCGCUCACAAACGGAUUGGUGGACGGCAGAAGUGUUUUAUCAACUUAGGGUAUACGAGUGAUACACUUGAAAAAUGUUGUAGCACGUUUGAUACUGGUGUCAUUUAAGGGUAUAUGACUGAUAAUUUCCCUUAAAUUUUUAAGAGAAAAUAUUCUAAGUUGAUUUGGAAUCACUCGAGGUAUUAUUAGUGAUGGAGGUAAAUAUUUUUGUAAUAAGUCAUUUGAUUCUUUAAUGAAAAAUAUAGAAUUAGGCAUAAAAUUACUACAUGUUAUCAUCCUCAAACAAAUGGUCAAGUUGAAUUAGCAAAUAUGGAGAUAAAACAAAUUUAAAAAAAAACAGUUAACCCAAACCGAAAAGACUGGUCUUUUCGACUGACUAAUGCGCUUUGGGGUUACUGUACUGCAUUUAAAACGUCUUUAGGAAUGUCAUCCUAUUGGCUAGUUUAUGGUAAACCUUGUCACUUACCUGUUGAACUUGAGCAUAAAUCAUUUUGGACUAUUAAAGCUUUUAAUUCAAAUUUAGAUGAUCUGGUAAUAUGCAAAAAUUACAAUUGAAUGAACUUGAGGAAUUAAGAAAUGAUGCAUAUGAAAAUUCAAGAAUUAUUAAGGCUCUUACAAAAAUUUUUCAUGGUAAAAGAAUUUUUCGAAAAACAUUUGAAAUUGAUCAAAAAGUAUUGCUUUAUAAUUCUCGUCUUCAUUUGUUUCUAGGAAAGUUAAAGUCAAAGUGGAGUAGCCUAUUUAUUGUAAAAAAUGUAUAUUCACAUGGAGCUGUAGAAAUUGAGAAUCUAAAAAAUAGUGUUACAUUUAAAGUUAAUGGUCAAAGAAUAAAGCCCUAUCUAGAAUACCAACCAUGUGAAGCAAGCACCCAAAUAAAUUUGAGUGAUCCACCAAAUCUUGAUUAAGUUUUUAAUGAGUAUUUUAACUUUUCAUUGUUGUUUUACCGUUGAAUUGUCGGUUGUCUUGAAUGAUAUGCGUUGUGAUGUUUCUUGCUUAAAGUGUGUUUAAUAAUUAUUUUUUUCUUCAUUAUACAUCAUGAGUACCUCAAUAAGGAAGAUUCUGUUCAGACAUCUUAAAAACCUUUUGCGAAUAAAAUUUCGCUUGAGAGGCUAGAUACAAAGGUGUAAAUCAUAUCUAAUUUAGGAACGACAACCACCAACAUUAGUGGCCUACGUUUAGGAUCAAGAAAGACAACUCAGAGAAAUAGAGCGAGGUAUAUAUGAAUUUCAAUUGGAGCUUGAGGUUAACUCAAUGAGAGGACGAAUGUAAAUUCAUUUUCCUUUUUACAUUAUGUUUUUCUUUUGUUUGUUCGCUUUCACGUUUGAUUUGAUUUUGCAAAUUUGAUUUUGGUGUGUUUUGAUUUAUUUUCCCGUAUAAAUGGCAGAUAACGGUACUCCGUGACUUCUUAAGUCGGUAUUCUUAGUUUCCCACAAUAAUUGAGAUCUCAAAAUCAAGUAUGGAAGAAAUACAACAUAAAUUGCAAAACAUUUUCCUUUUCUCCCUCAAAAUGCACUAAAAACAAAUUUACAAAGCUUGUUAAGUCCAUUAUUUAUAGAGUCGGCAUUUUAUGGUAAGUCUAGUUAAAUUGGAAGUUUAUUUCUUGAAUAUCUUGUAAUAGGGAUUAAUUUAUUAAUUCCCUAAUUUAGUGAGAUUCCAAUUUAUUAGGAAUAUUUGUUUCCUAAUUUAAUUAGAUGUCUAAUUUAGAAAGUCAAUUAAUGAUUGGAUUUUAUAAUUGGCGCAUGAGAUCUGUUUAGAGCAAGAAGUUGGUUCAAAUAGAAAGUUCAUUAAAUGCUCUAGAUAUUUCUUGGAAGACAAGUAAGGCAAGAAGAUAAGAUUUAUUCCUAUUCAGAUUCAUGGGAAUUAUAAGAUGAAAGAAACCUUAUUUGGAAAGAAUCCAAAUCUUUUAAGACUUUCUAUUUUGGUGAAACCCUAGUACCUAUAUAAAGAGAGGUAUUUCACAAUUGAAGGUAUCACACAACACAGAGCAUAAAGCAGAGAAGCAAAAUUUGGCCUCCUCCCUAGAGAAUUCGGAUUUUGCGCAUCAUGUUGUGUUGAUUUGUUUUCUUAUCUUCUUUCCAUCUCUGUGGAGAGUUUAUGUGGAUUUUGGAUCACUAGACAUUGUAGAAUUGAAAAAUUGCUAUUGAUCAUUUUGCGAAGUGCCUUGAGGAUCGUGGAUCAAGAGGGGUAGCAAUUAUUCAAGAGAAGCAGAUUCAAUCUGAGGUUGAGUAAACUAUAUGGUGAUAAACUAUAAGUGAGAGUCUUAAGUUUUGUAAAUUCAUAGGUUGUAAUAUUUCAACUUAGUGAAUUAUUUUUCAUUUGGGCUUGGCCUCAUGGAUAUAAGAUUAAUUAAUCUAAACCAUAUAAAAAUCUCUGUGUUAUUUAUUUUUUGUAUUUUAUUGUGUUUUUGAAAAAUUAAUAUUUUUUAUACGGAUGAACAGUAAUCGUGAACAGUAACUGUGAACCGUUGUGGUGAACAGUAACAAUGAACAAUAUUUUCAGAAAAUUAAUUAAGUUGUUAAUUUUUGGUUUUUAAUUACCUACAUCUAUUUGUAAUAGAUCUAAAUUCCUUUCAAAGCUCGUUGUGAAAGAUUGCGUUUGUUAAUGAUCAACAUAAUUUCUUUUGAUAUUCAUUGGUUAAUUGAAGCAAAAGUCCGAUUAGCUGGUGAGUUUCCUGAUCCAUUUAUUUCUUACAUGCUUGGUUUUGGUAAAAACACAUUUGCUAAAAAAUAGAGAGCUAAAAGACUUGGCUCAGAAUGUCAUAAUUGUGUACGACUUAGUUGCAAACCAGAAGUUUGUAAAUCUUUAGAAAUGAUUUUUGAUAAUCGAGAAGAUAAAAUUAAAUUCGUUAAAGAUGGCAUGAGUAAAGAAUCGUUAGAUGAUAUCUUACGAUCUCUUGAGAUGCAUCGAAGCGGACAUGUGCAAUAUGAGAUACACAAGUUAUGGAGAUUAUUCCAAAAAGAAAGUGCACAAUUUACUCUUACGAAUCUGACUGAAAAAGACUUUGUUUGCCAGUUUAUAAGAAAACUGGAUGGGAAUCAUAUCCUCGACCCAUAGAGGGCGUUCAAGUUGUUACUGGAUAUAAAACCAGAGGAAGAUGUGAGUCAUAAUCACAACUACCAGUAAAUAACAUUUUCUUAUCAUUUGCAUUAUUACAUUUAAUGGUGUGAUUUUGUAUUUAAUCAUUAUUUGUUUUCUUUUACUUUUUUUUUCAUUGUUUGUUUUUCUUUUUACUGUUUGCUUUUGAAAUAUUGAGACAUGAGCUUUACGCGUUAUCUGAAAAAUACACCAACUCAUUUACAAUUGUUCCUCAUUUUGUCUGUCAUUAAGAUCUUUAAAUAUGUGCUCUUUUUCCAACCACUCACAACUUGUUUUUGAAGAUUAUUCUAAUGGCAAUAUCUUUGAGUAGACAAUUCAAAAACAUUUGUGUGCUCUCUGAAUUUCAUUAUGGAAAAUAUAAAUAAUUCGUUCAGGUAGCUAUAAAUUUUAGUCGUGCUAUAGCUGAGAGAAACUGCACCUUGUAUAUAGAGGAGGUGAUUGCGAGUUAUCAAAAUUUGUCUCAAAAACUGUUUUUAUUAGAGAAAAUUAGGUACUAGGUAUCAUUCCACAAGUCUUAAAACCUCUAGAAUGCAUGUCUAACGUACCAAUUGGAGAAGAGUUAGUUGUCUUAAGUAUGCAAGAGCGAAUAUCUGAGAUGUUAAAUCAUGCUGACAGUUUCAUUUUCUUGCCAAGAGAUCUUGAAACUUUAGAGGCACUGAUUACAUUUGUAUCUUGGGCCCAUUUAAACAUCCAUCAGAAACUCAUCGGUUUACUAACUGUAAAUAAUUUUUUUGAUAGGUUGCUCACAAUAAUUAACCAUGCAAUUAAGAAUCAUUUUAUUCCAAUCUCUGCGAAAAAUCUCUUUGUUUGUGCUUCUACUGCUAAUUAGUUACUUGAUAUUUUACAAGCUUAUAAACCAGAGCCAGAUCAUAGGAUCUUGGCAUUGGAAUGGUUGACUAGUGAUGGUAACCCUAGCCCUAGUAUGAAGUACAAGUUGGACUUAACUCUUCGGUUGUAACUAUCUUCUUGGAGCGAUGAGGUAAUGUCUUCUAAACUUUGCUUCUUUCCUUUAAGCAAUUGAGGAUAAUGUCUUAUUCAGGUUGAGGGGAUGAAAUAGUUGACAGCUGUGGAAUAUAGCAAAUUCUAGUAAUGUUUAUGUCGAAAAUGACUGAAUAUGAGGUGUAGCGAAUUUAGAAACGCAUCUUUAGUGGCCUGUUCAGGUGUGAUCUUUCCUAUUUCUUCUUUUAUUAUUUAUGUUUUCUUUAUCUUUUUUGUCUUUUUGCAUACAUAUUUUUAAAUUAUGAAUAAUGUUUAGAUUAGGUUGGGGGGAAGGGGUAGUUGACGUAAAUUGUAAAUAGAUGCGUUUAUUUAUUUAUUUAUUUAAAAAAACCCAAAAAAAUAAAAAAUAAAUAAAUUUUUUAAGUCGUGUCUAUGAUGAUUGUGGAAAGAGUCACAAAUUUUGAAACGCAUCCUAAUAAUCAUGUUGUAUUAUAUUUUAAUUUUAAAAUUCAUAGUAAGUUGUUAUUUUUCCUUUUUUUUUGAAUUACUCAAAUUUGUGAACUCUCUAUUUGGUUAUUAAAUUAUUUUGUUUUUACUCAUUUAACAUAUAUUAUUAAAUCAUUCUUCACACACACACACACUAUGACACAUACUAGUGGAUUGUAAGUUAAAUUUUUUGCAGCAUUUAGUUCUUUUGAUUUACUAGGGAUAAUAUUUAAGGUAGUAGAAAGUGUAUAUUGCAAAAAACAAAAAAAAAAAGAGAAGAAAAAGAAGAAAAUUGAAUGUGUUUAAUUUUAAUAUAUCUAGAACCCGAGUAAUUAAGUCCGUAGGGAUGUUUCAACACCUAGUGCCCUAAGGUCAACUAGUCUAGGAGUCACUGGCCUAAAGCUCGCUACAUGAGUUAAAAAUGUAAUAUUUAAAAAAACAAUUUGAAUAAUCCAUUGCCUGAAGAUAGAAUUUCUAAUGAGUUUUUGAAUGAAAAUGUUGUUUUCUUUUAAUGAAACCCCAUAAGUAUUAUGUUAAUUACUUGAGCACAAAAGAAGGUUUAUAAUUUUCUAGAUAAUGAGUGGACAAACAAGAGUUAGAAAAAUUUGGGAGAGUUUAUUUAUUUGGUAGUUUAGAGAAUAGAUGAACAACUAUUAACUUGCAUGUGAAUUUUGUAAAUCUUGAUUUAAUAUAACACUUUCAUUGCUAGGGGCUAGCAAUAAGCUAGUUGGGGGGUGUGAUUAGUGUUAAAAAUUGUAUGUUUGUUAAGGGGUAAAAAUUUUAUUUUGUGCUAUUAUUGUAAUUUAUAUUUAUAAUUGUGUAACAUAUUGUGAAUUUCUAAUUAUUUUUUAAGUAUUUGAUUUUGUGUAUUUUUUUGUGUUUAUUAGGUAAAAAUAAUAAUUUCAUACAAUUUGAGGCUCCAAACAAAUGUGCGGAUGUCAAAUUUGAAUUCCGAAAAUCCGAGAAAUUAUGUUAUUGUCGAGAAGGAUCCAAGACUUUUGUUGUAAAUUUUUAAGUUUUUACCAUAGUAAAUGUGGUAAUUGUAAAAUUAUAAGUUUUUAUCAUAUUAGGUAUGAUAAUUGUUAGUGGAAUGUGUUGAAUGUGUUUGAGUGGAUUAAGUUAGGUUUAUGUGUUAUUAGUGGAACAAAUGUAAGGUUAAGAUGUAAUUAGAUUUAUUUAUUUGUGUGUUGUGGAUUUACCAUUUAUUAGUAUAAAUAGAGAGGGGGGGGGGGUGACACACAUCUUCACACCUUCUCUUCUCUUCUUUCCCCUCAAAUUCUUCUUCUCAUUUCUCUUUGUAAUAUAUUUUCAAUCAAUAAAAUUAGUUGUAUUUCAAUUUUCAAAUUCUAUUUUUUUAAUUAUGCAUUUUUCAAUUUUAAUAAUUUCCUUUAUUUUAAAAAUGUUUAGCUCAAUAUUAGUAGUUAGGGGAAGGUGAAACUCUUAGUAAAAAUAUGGUUUAAUCAAUUCUAUUUUUAAUUGUACAAAUUAAAUUGUUUUCUAUUUAAUUUUAUCCACAAUUUAUAUUUUGAAAUUUUGAUUUAUUAUAGACAAACAUGGGAGUUUGGCACAAUGAAUUCUUAAUAUCUUGGUAUAAAGUAUGGUAAAAUGAUAUUUUGAUUUAUUGUAGACAAAUUAAGUUUUGGCACAUUAAGUUCUUAAUCCAUAAUAAAAUAAAUGGGAAAAUAACUUUAAUUUAUACAAUUAAUCUUUUGGGAAAUAAAAUAAAAAUAAAAAGAAUUUGUUAAAUUUUAUUUAUUACUAUAAGUGGAUCCAUAACUCUAAGUAAUUCAAUUUCAUAAUUUUUCUUAAAUUAAUUUACAUAUUUUUAAUUUUAAUUUUUUUAUUUUUUGAUAAAUUUAAAUAAAAAAAUUAAAUUUUUUCUUUGUGGAUCGAUCUCGGACUCAUCGAAUUAUAAUAUAACAAGACACUCUUAUACUUAAGAGUUAAAAAUUAUUUUUAAAUCGUGUUAAUAAAAAAGACUUUUACCAAAAGUUACCCUGCUUAAUUGCUUUUAUUUUUUCACUCUUUUGAAUCGGCCUAAAUUUUAUUUUUAAGUAAAUAUCAGUACGAUUUAACAGAUUACAUAUUAGAAACAAUGAAGGCUGCAAGCUGUCGUCAGUAAAAUUUGAAUAGACAUUUAUCAGAAGUUGUAUAAUAUUCUUUUUCUUUUUAUCAACCAAAUGGGUAAAAACCUUAUUGAAAAAAGAAAAAAGAAAAAUAAAAAGACAGAAAACAAACAGACAUGACAUUUAGAUAAGAGACUCGUGAACCUUCCCAGCACCCCCCGCCACAAAAGAUGGAGAACAAAAGAUAUUUAAAUCCCCACUAGAAAUCUCAUUCGUCCAAUACAUCUUGUACGUAGCGCAGGGACUAAUUUGUCACAGUCAUGCCUUUAUUUAUAUAAAGCUAGAGAGAAACUAACGAUCAUUUCUUUACCAAGGAAAUGAGUAGACUUGCAUAAGCUCCUCGCCCCUUGUCCAAAACCUCGUCAGUCACCUUGGUUGCAAAUCUACGAUGGAUCUCGUCCACGGUGGCAUCAUCGAAAAGAUUAGCCAGAAAUGAUUCUCCCACUGCUCUUACAUGCUUUGUCACAUACUUGCCUCUUGCGUAUUUGUCUGAGCCUUUGUUAUCUACGCCGUCGACAAAGCCUACCAACCAACUUACGUUGAAUGUUUCAACCUCUUGGAUAUCAAACGAUCCUUCUCUUUUAACAAUUUGCUUUACUUCGUCAACACUUGCUCUAUAGACCGGAAAAUCCUCGAAUGAUUUCACUUUUGAUUCUUCAGCCAACCCCUGAAAUGCAUGAAAUAAUUAAAACCAAAAGAAAAAGAGAUUGUCCAUUAUCUAUUAGUCAUAUAUAUAUACACACACACAAAAUUAGUUUUUAAUAUGUCUCAGGAGAGAGAAAGUACCUCAGAGAUCAUGUCUUUUAAUACCAUCAACAUUGGCUCUCCAGGAGUAGCAUGAUAAUUGUCAUUAUAUAGAAGGGUGAGAACCAUACGACCUUGGGGUUUCAACUCCUCAGAUCGAAAUUUGAGAAAUGUUGAGAAAUCGCUCUCAAAUUGAUUCAGGAAUGCUUUAUGGACAUCAGAUUCAUUCCCCUGGCCUUUAGGCAUCUGAAAAAGCAUUAAACCGAGGGAAAUGAUAAGCCAAGAUGAUUGAUAAAUUCUUGAAUUUCAAAUUGCUUUCGUUGUUGAUCUGAAUAUGCACGGCUCUAAAUAUACACUUGCCAGAAAAUUAUUAAGAGAUUAUUGGUGAAAAGAAAUACUAAUGAACAUGGGAUCCCAAUUCUUACCUUAGAGAGCCAGUGGAGAGCGUAAGAAGAGUAAACCAAGUCAAGGAAAUUGGGAGGAAAUAGCCUCGUAUAGAAAGAUCCAGGGCUUGCAGCUACGAAACAUGAACCAAAUUCAUGUCCCUUUUCUGUCUUCAGUCUCUCAUAGAAGCUUGGCAGGGAUUUGAAAACGGUGUUGAAAUCACUUCUAGGAAGAUCAUUGAGAAAAGAAUGCAAAACGGGUGGCUUACGAUUCAAGCGAUGACAAAUCUUGUCCAGGGAAUCAAUAGCUUCCCAUGUUGGCAACAAUGCAUUAGGCCCUGAAGAGCAUCCCAUAUCUGCAAAUCUUAUGCAGUCUGGGAAGCCGUUGCAAUACAGUUCAUUCAAGCUUUGUUCUAGCAUAGGCUUUGCUUUCAAGAUUGCUUCUUUCUGAAAAUAAUAUAAGAAAUUAAGCAGAUGCAUGGUUUGAUAACUUUGUUGAUCACUGAAGCUUGUGAAUCGAAAAAGAGAGAUUUAUUACCUGUGUAGGUGAGUUGUUAGCAUAGCUAUUUUCUCCUUCUCCUUCAUUCAUGCGCAGAAUCUGCUCUACCUCCAUUGCUGCGUUAUCUGCUUCUCUAUCGGCUCAAUCCUGGCGACUAUGAUUAAAUACCAAGGCCUUCAAAUUAAUAUCAUUAGUUCAAAUUCAUGGAAAUGUUUCUGGCAGCGACAUGGAUUGACCAUUGACUGUGAUAUUAGUGGCUGCUGCAAUUCUUUGACCGCAUCUUGGCACAAUUUCUAGCAAAUG